GAAAUGCGAUAAGUAGUGUGAAUUGCAGAAUUCAGUGAAUCAUCGAAUCUUUGAACGCACAUUGCGCCCCUUGGUAUUCCAUGGGGCAUGCCUGUUCGAGCGUCAUCUACACCCUCAAGCUCUGCUUGGUGUUGGGCGUCUUUGUCCCGCCUCCGCGCGCGGACUCGCCCCAAAUUCAUUGGCAGCGGUCCUUGCCUCCUCCCGCGCAGCACAUUGCGCUUCUCGAGGUGUUGCGGCCCGCGUCCAGAAAGCAAUCGUUACCGUCUUUGACCUCGGAUCAGGUAGGGAUACCCGCUGAACUUAAGC
Molecule: unclassified non-coding RNA, 306 nt
Filed under: plant metagenome
Description: partial contains 5.8S ribosomal RNA, internal transcribed spacer 2, and large subunit ribosomal RNA
Rfam family: 5.8S ribosomal RNA (bases 1-105)
Source: RNAcentral